Hemicordylus capensis (graceful crag lizard) is the source of this 160-nucleotide small nuclear RNA. RefSeq annotates it as U1 spliceosomal RNA. NCBI's taxonomy places the organism in Eukaryota, Metazoa, Chordata, Lepidosauria, Squamata, Cordylidae. The transcript has a single exon. The record is from RefSeq and is a predicted model, not a curated record.
CUUCUGCAGUUGCAGGGGAGACACCUUGAUCACGAAGGAGAUUUUCCCAGGGUGAGGCUCACCCAUUGCACUGCGGGUGUGCUGACCCCUGCGAUUUCCCCAAAUGCGGGAAACUCGACUGCAUAAUUUGUGGAUGCUGUCAUUGUUUUUUUAAAACAGC